Molecule: transfer RNA, 57 nt
Filed under: Agamermis sp. BH-2006
Lineage: Eukaryota; Metazoa; Nematoda; Enoplea; Mermithida; Mermithidae
Description: tRNA-Ser
Source: RNAcentral
AUUAUGGUUAAUAUUAAAUUUGAAAUUUAAAAGGUAUCUUCUUAUUAUAUUGAACUC